AUCAGAGAGGCACCAGGUAAACAAUGCACAUAAGAAGCAGUGUUGAUUUCUGAAGGAGACAUGGAGAGAUGGAAAAAAGCUAGCCCAACAGAAACCAAUAAACACUGUCUGUAGAUGGAAAAGGGACUACAUCAUCAGACUGAUUCAGUUCUACAAGUUCAA
Molecule: long non-coding RNA, 162 nt
Organism: Paramisgurnus dabryanus
Lineage: Eukaryota; Metazoa; Chordata; Actinopteri; Cypriniformes; Cobitidae
Source: RefSeq, a predicted model, not a curated record